RNAcentral lists this long non-coding RNA (890 nucleotides) under Capsella grandiflora. RNAcentral describes it as "long non-coding RNA (CGRA_LNC000133)". Lineage: Eukaryota; Viridiplantae; Streptophyta; Magnoliopsida; Brassicales; Brassicaceae. The record is from RNAcentral.
UGAACUACUAUGGUGAAGAUGGACUAGACUGCAUGCUGUAAAUUACUUCUAUUUUGGAUGCCUACAAGUUAUUACCACAGUUACGCAUAUGAAUCCUAGUUUUGUUAAUUUUGUCUAAACUAUUAUGAGUUAAUUAGAUAUGUUCCUAUUAGCUGCACUAGUUUAAGGAAAGCAACAUUUCUCUACAUAGUUUAAAAAUGAAAUGGUGAAAUCUUAUUAUCUUGAACAGUGCCUAUCACUCUAAUUGAAUUGGUGCCACAUGAAAGAGAUAUGCAUCACUAUGAUUAGCUGUAAGUAGAAAACUAAAAGCAGAUUUCACACGUUGUCACUUCACAAGAAAGACGACACCUAAGUUCAAAGUAAAUACCUUUGAUUAUUUUCUAGCAGUAGAAUCUUCAGUUUCUUGACACGUUCAAGAUCACUGAACAUGUAAAUUGCAGGAAAAUUCAACUUAUGCCAACUCAUUCCCUGAGCAAGGAUUAGUCAGAAUAACAUGAUUUGUAAAUUAAACUGAUAACAUGGACCAACAUUGUCCACACAAAUUUAAGAAACUCCAAAAUUUAGCAUGCAAAUCAGCAUCAAUUGGUCAUUUUCGGCUAAUGGGAAUACAUUUACUUAACGUAUUCAGCCAGCUACUAGAACAGGAUGUUGAUGCCUAUGCCAAAUACAAGAAAACGAAGAUAAUUCUCUCCCUCUCUUUACCUUUUGGAAUAAAGGACUAUACUUUCUCACUUUUCAUGGUAAGUGCUGAAAAGAAAGGAUGAUAACCACAUUUUAACCAAGCAUUACUGGUUUCACAUCUGGGAAUGUUCAAAGAGAUCAUAGCGAAGAAACUCCAAUUAGUAUUUAUUGCUAUAAAAUGAUAACCACAUUUUAACCAAGCAUUACUG